AUGAUAGCGUUGAACGGUCUUAGUAAUCCAAACUUCCCUGGAGAUAGAGAGCUGAUGGUUGGUGGGAAUCAGUACAAAAGUCUUGGAUGAAUUACAGCCUGGAGCUUUCUUUGUGAACAAAGAACGGUUUUUGCCGUUAUGAAAAUGAAGUGGCUAUACGUAGCAAAAAGUGUAGCAACAAGGGUGGUAACGCGAGGACCUCGUCCCUUUU
Molecule: non-coding RNA, 211 nt
Filed under: Halalkalibacter hemicellulosilyticus
Lineage: Bacteria; Bacillati; Bacillota; Bacilli; Caryophanales; Bacillaceae
Description: Bacillus hemicellulosilyticus T-box sequence
Rfam family: T-box leader
About the family: Uncharged tRNA acts as the effector for transcription antitermination of genes in the T-box leader family.
Source: RNAcentral